AUCAAGCAAUCCCCUUGAAAAUUCAACCAUGUGCCCCCAUACUGUGCACAUGGUUGUAAUUCCGGCAAUCUGGAGGCGUUCUGGACGCGGGUUCGAUUCCCGCCAUCUCCACCUAAGAGUUUCGGAACAAAGGGUUUCACCAAAUUCUUAGGUGGGGGUGUACUGGUCUCGACAGGGCGGGCAAAGGUGCGCAGGCA
RNAcentral lists this transfer-messenger RNA (197 nucleotides) under Betaproteobacteria bacterium. RNAcentral's name for it is "partial transfer-messenger RNA". It matches the Rfam family "Betaproteobacteria transfer-messenger RNA", at positions 1 to 185 of the family's 331-position model. Rfam says of the family: Bacterial tmRNA, also known as 10Sa RNA or SsrA, is named for its dual tRNA and mRNA-like properties. Its role is to liberate the mRNA from a stalled ribosome. To accomplish this part of the tmRNA is used as a reading frame that ends in a translation stop signal. The record is from RNAcentral. Lineage: Bacteria; Pseudomonadati; Pseudomonadota; Betaproteobacteria.